RNAcentral lists this long non-coding RNA (242 nucleotides) under Lathyrus oleraceus (garden pea). Its description in RNAcentral is "Pisum sativum (pea) long non-coding RNA (PSAT_LNC021304)". Lineage: Eukaryota; Viridiplantae; Streptophyta; Magnoliopsida; Fabales; Fabaceae. The record is from RNAcentral.
UUUCCAUGACAUACCAUGCUUGUUCCAUGAUUAUUUUCCAUGUAAAUAAUAUGCUAUGCAUACUUACAAAGCCCUCAACAUGAGGCAUUGCUUUUAACUUUAAGUUUGUGACAUUAUUUUUUGUUGAAUCCGGGUGCAUGAAGCCCCCUUGUUAUUCGCUUUUCUACAUGAUAAAGCCAUUAUUUUCAAUAAAACAAGAUACCAUUGUGUUCUACAUGUUCCAUACUUGAACUUUGAUUUUU